This 1122-nucleotide long non-coding RNA is filed under the name Cyanistes caeruleus (blue tit). RNAcentral's name for it is "lncRNA (ENSCCEG00000009398.1)". Lineage: Eukaryota; Metazoa; Chordata; Aves; Passeriformes; Paridae. The record is from RNAcentral.
AUGGAAAACCGGGAUCCCGAUGGAAAACCUGGAUCUCAACACCCAAAUCCCAACAAAUCACACCCAGAUUCCAAUGGAAACCCAGGAUCCCAAUGGAAAACCGGGAUCCUGAUGGAAAACCGGGAUCCCAGCACCCAAAUCUCAACAAAAACAUCCAGAUCCCAAAAAAAAAACGGGAUCUUGAUGGAAAACCUGGAUCCCAACACCCAAAUCCCAAGAAAAUCCACCCAGAUCCCGAUGGAAAACCCAGAUCUUGAUGGAAAACUGGGAUCCCAAACACCCAAAUCCCAACAAAUCACACCCAGAUCCCGAAAAAAAAACGGGAUCCUGAUGGAAAACCGGGAUCCCGAUGGAAAACCGGGAUCUCAACACCCAAAUCCCAGAAAAUCACACCCAGAUCCUGAAAAAAACCCAGGAUUUCAAUGGAAAACUGGGAUCUCAAUGGAAAAGUGGGAUCCAACACCCAAAUCCCAAAUCCACCCAGAUUCCAACGGAAAACCGGGAUCCCGAUGGAAAACCUGGGAUCUCAACACCCAAAUCCCAGAAAAUCACACCCAGAUCCUGAAAAAAAAACAGGAUUUCAAUGGAAAACCGGGAUCUCGAUGGAAAAGUGGGAUCCCAACACCCAAAUCCCAACAAAAUCCACCCAGAUUCCAACGGAAAACCGGGAUCCCGAUGGAAAACCUGGAUCUCAACACCCAAAUCCCAACAAAUCACACCCAGAUCCUGAAAAAAACCCAGGAUCCCAAUGGAAAACCGGGAUCUCGAUGGAAAAGUGGGAUCCAACACCCAAAUCCCAACAAAUCACACCCAGAUCCUGAAAAAAAACAGGAUUCCAAUGGAAAACCGGGAUCCAAACGGAAAACCGGGAUCUUGAUGGAAAACCGGGAUCCCAACACCCAAAUCCCAAUAAAUCACACCCAGAUUCCGAUGGAAAACCGGGAUCCUGAUGGAAAACUGAGAUCCCGGCACCCAAAUCUCAACAAAUCACACCCAGAUUCCAAAAAAACCCCGGGAUCCCAAUGGAAAACCGGGAUCCCAACACCCAAAUCCCAGCAAAUCACACCCAGAUCCCAAUGGAAAACCCAGAUCUUGAUGGAAAACCGGGAUCCCAACACCUAA